GAGUUUGAUCGUGGCUCAGGACGAACGCUGGCGGCGUGCUUAACACAUGCAAGUCGAACGAUGAAGCCCUUCGGGGUGGAUUAGUGGCGAACGGGUGAGUAACACGUGGGCAAUCUGCCCUUCACUCUGGGACAAGCCCUGGAAACGGGGUCUAAUACCGGAUAUGAGCCUCUAUCGCAUGGUGGAGGCUGUAAAGCUCCGGCGGUGAAGGAUGAGCCCGCGGCCUAUCAGCUUGUUGGUGAGGUAAUGGCUCACCAAGGCGACGACGGGUAGCCGGCCUGAGAGGGCGACCGGCCACACUGGGACUGAGACACGGCCCAGACUCCUACGGGAGGCAGCAGUGGGGAAUAUUGCACAAUGGGCGAAAGCCUGAUGCAGCGACGCCGCGUGAGGGAUGACGGCCUCGGUUGUAACGUC
Molecule: ribosomal RNA, 417 nt
Filed under: uncultured Actinomycetes bacterium
Lineage: Bacteria; Bacillati; Actinomycetota; Actinomycetes
Description: bacterial SSU rRNA
Rfam family: Bacterial small subunit ribosomal RNA
Source: RNAcentral